This is a non-coding RNA of Mycena vitilis, 95 nucleotides long. Lineage: Eukaryota; Fungi; Basidiomycota; Agaricomycetes; Agaricales; Mycenaceae. The record is from the annotation of a GenBank genome assembly.
GGUUGCGUAGUGUAGCGGUUAUCACUUCAGAUUCUGAUACAGACCCGUAGGCUGUUCUCUUUCUGGCGACCCCGGUUCGAUUCCGGGCGCGACCU